AGUGAACGCUGGCGGUAGGCCUAACACAUGCAAGUCGAACGGCAGCACAGUAAGAGCUUGCUCUUACGGGUGGCGAGUGGCGGACGGGUGAGGAAUACAUCGGAAUCUACUUUUUCGUGGGGGAUAACGUAGGGAAACUUACGCUAAUACCGCAUACGACCUACGGGUGAAAGCAGGGGAUCUUCGGACCUUGCGCGAUUGAAUGAGCCGAUGUCGGAUUAGCUAGUUGGCGGGGUAAAGGCCCACCAAGGCGACGAUCCGUAGCUGGUCUGAGAGGAUGAUCAGCCACACUGGAACUGAGACACGGUCCAGACUCCUACGGGAGGCAGCAGUGGGGAAUAUUGGACAAUGGGCGCAAGCCUGAUCCAGCCAUGCCGCGUGGGUGAAGAAGGCCUUCGGGUUGUAAAGCCCUUUUAUUGGGAAAGAAAAGCAGCAGGUUAAUACCCCGCUGUUCUGACGGUACCCAAAGAAUAAGCACCGGCUAACUUCGUG
Molecule: ribosomal RNA, 492 nt
Filed under: uncultured bacterium
Lineage: Bacteria
Description: partial 16S ribosomal RNA
Rfam family: Bacterial small subunit ribosomal RNA
Source: RNAcentral